UUCUUCGUCGAGACGAGUAGUUUGGAAAUGCUGCUCAAAAUGGGGAUUCUACGUCUUCUAAAGCUGAAUAUUGUUCAGAGACCGAUAGCGCACAAGUAGAGUGAUCGAAAGAUGAAAAGCACUUUGAAAAGAGAGUUAAACAGUACGUGAAAUUGUUGAAAGGGAAGCGCUUGUGACCAGACUUGGGCUUGGCGGAUCAUCCGGCGUUCUCGCCGGUGCACUCCGCCUCGCCCAGGCAAGCGUCAGUUCGCCGCGGGGGAAAAAGGCUUCGGGAACGUGGCUCCUCCGGGAGUGUUAUAGCCCGUUGCGUAAUACCCUGCGGUGGACUGAGGACCGCGCUUCUUGCAGGGAUGCUGGCGUAAUGUUCAUCAGUGACCCGUCUUGAAACACGGACUUUGGAGUCGUCUUCUUAUGCUAGUGUCCGGGUGUCAAACCCCUACGGGUAAUGAAAGUAAAUUUAGGUGAAACCUACGGCUCCCCCCCCAUCUGAUCCUGAUGUCCCAAGAUUUUUAUUU
This is a ribosomal RNA of 515 nucleotides. It matches the Rfam family "Eukaryotic large subunit ribosomal RNA", at positions 253 to 791 of the family's 3401-position model.